Molecule: ribosomal RNA, 1575 nt
Filed under: Longidorus caespiticola
Lineage: Eukaryota; Metazoa; Nematoda; Enoplea; Dorylaimida; Longidoridae
Description: SSU rRNA
Rfam family: Eukaryotic small subunit ribosomal RNA
Source: RNAcentral
GCCAUCGUUUACUAGAAAAUCGUUAUCCUACUCGGAUAACUGUGGCAAUUCUAGAGCUAAUACGUGCAAAAAAGCUCGUGCCGAAAGGAAUGAGCGCAUUUAUUAGAAUAAAAACCAAUCGGGUGGUAAAAAGCCCGCGUUUUGGUGAAUCUGAAUAACUUUGCCGAUCGCACGGUCUUAGUACCGGCGACGUAUCUUUCAAGUGUCUGCCUUAUCAACUGUCGAUGGUAGGUUAUACGCCUACCAUGGUAGUAACGGGUAACGGAGAAUAAGGGUUCGACUCCGGAGAGGGAGCCUGAGAAACGGCUACCACAUCCAAGGAAGGCAGCAGGCGCGCAAAUUACCCACUUCCAGAACGGAGAGGUAGUGACGAAAAAUAACGAGACAGUCCUCUUCGAGGUCUGUCAUCGGAAUGGGUACAAUUUAAAUCCUUUAACGAGGAUCUAUUGGAGGGCAAGUCUGGUGCCAGCAGCCGCGGUAAUUCCAGCUCCAAUAGCGUAUAUUAAAGUUGUUGCGGUUAAAACGCUCGUAGUUGGAUCUGCGGCCUGGGAGAACGGUCCCCCGAAAGGGUGGUAACUGUUACUCUUAGCCUAAAUUUUUAGUCCGCUCUAUAGUGCCUUUAAUCGGGUGCUUAGAGUGACUAGAACGUUUACUUUGAAAAAAUUAGAGUGCUUAAAGCAGGCGAAAUCGCCUGAAUAAGGUGCAUGGAAUAAUGGAAUAGGACCUCGGUUCUAUUUUGUUGGUUUUCGGAGCCUGAGGUAAUGAUUAAGAGGAACAGACGGGGGCAUUCGUAUUCCGGCGCUAGAGGUGAAAUUUUCAUUAAUCAAGAACGAAAGUUAGAGGUUCGAAGGCGAUCAGAUACCGCCCUAGUUCUAACCGUAAACGAUGACAACCAGCGAUUAGUCGGCGUUAAUUUAUGACCCGACUAGCAGCUUCCGGGAAACCAAAGUUUUUCGUUUCCGGGGGAAGUAUGGUUGCAAAGCUGAAACUUAAAGGAAUUGACGGAAGGGCACCACCAGGAGUGGAGCCUGCGGCUUAAUUUGACUCAACACGGGAAAACUCACCCGGCCCGGACACCGUAAGGAUUGACAGACUGAGAGCUCUUUCUUAAUUCGGUGGGUGGUGGUGCAUGGCCGUUCUUAGUUGGUGGAGCGAUUUGUCUGGUUAAUUCCGAUAACGAACGAGACUCUGGCCUAUUAAAUAGCCGGUAUAUAUAGAAAAGUUUACCGCGCUUCUUAGAGGGACAACCGGCGUCUAGCCGCGUGAAAUAGAGCAAUAACAGGUCUGUGAUGCCCUUAGAUGUCCGGGGCUGCACGCGCGCUACACUGAAAGAAUCAGUAUGCGCAUUCGCCUAGUUCGGAAGAACCGGGUAACCCUAGCAAAUUCUUUCGUGCUUGGGAUAGGGAAUUGCAAUUAUUUCCCUUAAACGAGGAAUUCCCAGUAAAUGCGGGUCAUAAGCUCGCGUUGAUUACGUCCCUGCCCUUUGUACACACCGCCCGUCGCUACUACCGAUUGGAUGACUUAGUGAGGUCUUAGGACCGAAGUGAAGGAGCUUUAAUUAGUUCUUUUACUUGG